This 253-nucleotide ribosomal RNA is filed under the name uncultured bacterium. Its description in RNAcentral is "partial 16S ribosomal RNA". It matches the Rfam family "Bacterial small subunit ribosomal RNA", at positions 524 to 776 of the family's 1533-position model. The record is from RNAcentral.
UACGAAGGGGGCUAGCGUUGCUCGGAUUGACUGGGCGUAAAGGGCGCGUAGGCGGCUUGUACAGUCAGACGUGAAAUUCCUGGGCUCAACCUGGGGGCUGCGUUUGAUACGUGCGAGCUUGAGUUCGGAAGAGGGUCGUGGAAUUCCCAGUGUAGAGGUGAAAUUCGUAGAUAUUGGGAAGAACACCGGUGGCGAAGGCGGCGACCUGGUCCGAUACUGACGCUGAGGCGCGAAAGCGUGGGGAGCAAACAGG